GAUGAACGCUGGCGGCGUGCCUAAUACAUGCGAGUCGAGCGAACGGACGAGAAGCUUGCUUCUCUGAUGUUAGCGGCGGACGGGUGAGUAACACGUGGAUAACCUACCUAUAAGACUGGGAUAACUUCGGGAAACCGGAGCUAAUACCGGAUAAUAUUUUGAACCGCAUGGUUCAAAAGUGAAAGACGGUCUUGCUGUCACUUAUAGAUGGAUCCGCGCUGCAUUAGCUAGUGGGUAAGGUAACGGCUUACCAAGGCAACGAUGCAUAGCCGACCUGAGAGGGUGAUCGGCCACACUGGAACUGAGACACGGUCCAGACUCCUACGGGAGGCAGCAGUAGGGAAUCUUCCGCAAUGGGCGAAAGCCUGACGGAGCAACGCCGCGUGAGUGAUGAAGGCCUUCGGAUCGUAAAACUCUGUUAUUAGGGAAGAACAUAUGUGUAAGUAACUGUGCACAUCUUGACGUUACCUACUCAGAAAGCCACGGCUAACUACGUG
Molecule: ribosomal RNA, 497 nt
Filed under: uncultured bacterium
Lineage: Bacteria
Description: partial 16S ribosomal RNA
Rfam family: Bacterial small subunit ribosomal RNA
Source: RNAcentral